GGGAAUUUUCCGCAAUGGGCGAAAGCCUGACGGAGCAAUACCGCGUGAGGGAGGAAGGCUUUUGGGUCGUAAACCUCUUUUGUCAGGGAAGAACACAAUGACGGUACCUGACGAAUCAGCAUCGGCUAACUCCGUGCCAGCAGCCGCGGUAAUACGGAGGAUGCAAGCGUUAUCCGGAAUUAUUGGGCGUAAAGCGUCCGCAGGUGGUUAAUCAAGUCUGCUGUUAAAGCGUCCAGCUUAACUGGAUAUAGGCAGUGGAAACUGGUUGACUAGAGUUUGGUAGGGGUCACGGGAAUUCCCAGUGUAGCGGUGAAAUGCGUAGAUAUUGGGAAGAACACCAGCGGCGAAAGCGCGUGACUGGGCCGAACUGACACUCAUGGACGAAAGCUAGGGGAGCGAAAGGAUUAGAUACCCCUGUAGUCCUAGCUGUAAACGAUGACAACUAGGUGUUGCCCGUAUCGACCCGGGCAGUGCCGUAGCUAACGCGUUAAGUUGUCCGCCUGGGGAGUACGCACGCAAGUGUGAAACUCAAAGGAAUUGACGGGGGCCCGCACAAGCGGUGGAGUAUGUGGUUUAAUUCGAUGCAACGCGAAGAACCUUACCAGGGCUUGACAUGUCGCGAAUCCUCUUGAAAGGGAGGAGUGCCUUCGGGAGCGCGAACACAGGUGGUGCAUGGCUGUCGUCAGCUCGUGUCGUGAGAUGUUGGGUUAAGUCCCGCAACGAGCGCAACCCUCGUCGUUAGUUGCCAGCAUUCAGUUGGGCACUUUAGCGAGACUGCCGGUGACAAACCGGAGGAAGGUGGGGAUGACGUCAAGUCAGCAUGCCCCUUACGUCCUGGGCUACACACGUACUACAAUGCUGUGGACAAAGAGUUGCAAGCUAGCGAUAGCAAGCCAAUCUCAUAAACCACGGCUCAGUUCAGAUUGCAGGCUGCAACUCGCCUGCAUGAAGGCGGAAUCGCUAGUAAUCGCAGGUCAGCAUACUGCGGUGAAUACGUUCCCGGGCCUUGUACACACCGCCCGUCACACCAUGGGAGUUGGCCACGCCCGAAGUCGUUACUCCAACCGUUCGCGGAGGGGGACGCCGAAGGCAGGGYUGAUGACUGGGGAGAAGUCGUAACAAGGUAGCYGUACCGGAAGGUGUGGMUGGAUCACCUCYUUUUAGGGAGACCUCCCACUUUUAACCGAGAUCAUGUUGUUGAAUUACAAGAUGAGAGUAGGGUAAAAGCUGGUCAACCCAAGGUCGAGCAGAGUUUAGUGAAGGCUUUCAAACUUAUCUAGGUUUGGUAAUGGGCUAUUAGCUCAGGUGGUUAGAGCGCACCCCUGAUAAGGGUGAGGUCCCUGGUUUGWGUCCAGGAUGGCCCACCUAGGGGGUUUAGCUCAGUUGGUAGAGCGCCUGCUUUGCAAGCAGGAUGUCAACGGUUCGAGUCCGUUAACCUCCACUGGCUAAA
Molecule: unclassified non-coding RNA, 1450 nt
Filed under: Leptodesmis alaskaensis V20
Lineage: Bacteria; Bacillati; Cyanobacteriota; Cyanophyceae; Leptolyngbyales; Leptolyngbyaceae
Description: bacterial SSU rRNA
Rfam family: Bacterial small subunit ribosomal RNA (bases 1-1161)
Source: RNAcentral